AACUUUUGGCAAUGGAUCACGCAUCGAUGAAGAACGCAGCGAAAUGCGAUACGUAAUGUGAAUUGCAGAAUUCAGUGAAUCAUCGAAUCUUUGAACGCACCUUGCGCCCCUUGGCAUUCCGAGGGGCACACCCGUUUGAGUGUCGUGAAAUUCUCAAAACCUUUUCUUUGAGAAAAGGAUUUUGGACUUGGAGGUUUUUAUGCUUGCUUUCGUGUCUCGAAAGUGAGCUCCUCUCAAAUGAAUUAGUGGGGUCUGCUUUGCUGGUCCUUGACGUGAUAAGAUGUUUUGACGUUUUGGACUUGGCACUGUCUCUUGGAUGCCUGCUUCUAACUGUCCAUCUCAUGGACAAUGAUGGUGCUCUGGUCUCUUCCAUCCACAUUGGCGGGAGGCUGGACCCACAAAAAACCUUGACCUCAAAUCAGGUAGGACUACCCGCUGAACUUAAGCAUAUCAAUAAGCGGAGGCU
This 466-nucleotide unclassified non-coding RNA is filed under the name uncultured Russula. RNAcentral describes it as "sequence contains ITS2". The stretch from base 1 to 145 matches the Rfam family "5.8S ribosomal RNA". The record is from RNAcentral. Lineage: Eukaryota; Fungi; Basidiomycota; Agaricomycetes; Russulales; Russulaceae.